This 465-nucleotide ribosomal RNA is filed under the name uncultured Klebsiella sp. RNAcentral's name for it is "bacterial SSU rRNA". It matches the Rfam family "Bacterial small subunit ribosomal RNA", at positions 338 to 795 of the family's 1533-position model. Lineage: Bacteria; Pseudomonadati; Pseudomonadota; Gammaproteobacteria; Enterobacterales; Enterobacteriaceae. The record is from RNAcentral.
CCUACGGGUGGCAGCAGUGGGGAAUAUUGCACAAUGGGCGCAAGCCUGAUGCAGCCAUGCCGCGUGUGUGAAGAAGGCCUUCGGGUUGUAAAGCACUUUCAGCGGGGAGGAAGGCGUUAAGGUUAAUAACCUUGGCGAUUGACGUUACCCGCAGAAGAAGCACCGGCUAACUCCGUGCCAGCAGCCGCGGUAAUACGGAGGGUGCAAGCGUUAAUCGGAAUUACUGGGCGUAAAGCGCACGCAGGCGGUCUGUCAAGUCGGAUGUGAAAUCCCCGGGCUCAACCUGGGAACUGCAUUCGAAACUGGCAGGCUAGAGUCUUGUAGAGGGGGGUAGAAUUCCAGGUGUAGCGGUGAAAUGCGUAGAGAUCUGGCGGAAUACCGGUGGCGAAGGCGGCCCCCUGGACAAAGACUGACGCUCAGGUGCGAAAGCGUGGGGAGCAAACAGGAUUAGAUACCCCUGUAGUC